CCUCAGGGGUGAUAGAAAGGUGUAUAUGGUCGUCACAGAAUUCGUGCCCCUGAUGCCCAGCGAUCGUAUACAGGCAGCGUGGGCUGUCCGUGUCUUUUUCAGCUCUCAGCUGCCAUCUCGGCACGACAUGUCUCUAAGCUGGGGCAUCAGAGCAUGCCGGCGUCUGACCCUGAUUCAUCGUGAUCUGCCUUCCGACAUGCUGAAGCUGAUGCUGGCCUGUGCGAUAGUGGCCGGAGCAUCUCUGGCCGGUGCGAAGGUCGGCCGCUCGUCUUAUGAGGACUACGGACGACACCCGUAUUCGUCCGCCUACGACCGCACAGGUUGCGACUUUCCGGCUGCAAGCUGCAUCCUUUAAGAUCACAAGGUGAGAGGCCACCAGCAAUGAUUAGCCCUUGACUGGGAGGGCCUGCGACAUUGUGCAGCGGCGUCACUAACGUUCAGGUGACGUCAGAAGGCAGGACGGACUUCGUUGAACAUUGAGAUACACCUUCUCUUUUGCUCGUAGUUUUCACCGUCGAGCUGGGAUUUUCAGAUCGCGACAGGCGGUAAGUGCUUAUGCAGGAAAUAGUUCUUAGGCGUACUACUGAUACUAUAACUUUCAGAAAUAAUCCAAAAGUCUCCAUCACAAAUUCAAGUACAUAGUGCAGGAGUUUCUUGAAAAAAAUCCGUUGAUCCUGUUCAGGAGGCCUAGAUGGCUUGUUUUACGGCGUCAUGGUCCCGGAGCGUUGCUGCACAGCUUUCGAGCCCGCUGGUCAGCUCGCGAUGGCUGCGCUGUAGUCAUAGCUUACCCUACCGCUAUGGCUCUGUUACUGUAGUCCCCAGUGUGGUUCACUGCCCCUGGUCCAAGUCACCCUCCCCUUUUGGUCGCGCCGGCCGCAUAUCCGGGCGCUAGUUGUCUGUACUCUACCUAGCUAACCGGGUCCAGAACGGAAUGCUCCUCAGAAUGGUCUAUGAUCUUAUUGCACGGCGUGCCAUGCAGCACGGGCGGGUUGCAUCCGUUCAGAUAACACCGCGCCAUGGAGCCAUCAAGAGCACACAAGCAUCAGCGCUGACAACACUCUAUCGGUUCCAGAGAUCGCCAGCAUCGUCAGCGCUGUCGGCGUCGUCCCGCUGUUCUUAAUGGCCAUUGCCGCCAUGGUGGCGAGCUUAUUCGCAAUCCCAGUUGGUGACAUCAACGUUGACGACUGCAAGCGCGCGCUGCUGCAACUGCCGCUGUUCGACAAGGUCGUCUCCGGCAUUGAGAGGAUGCAAAAGCUGUAUGAAACGGCGUCGCCACAGCUCCAUCGGGCGUAAGGUCGGUGGAGGCCAGCCAGAGAGCCACCGCGCGGCCGGUGAGGCCAGAGAGCCGCCGCGGUCUCCUUUUCGGAGCCCCGUCGCUCAUAGGCGGCAGGCAGAGUGGCCUCGGUUAACAGGUGGUGCGCUGGGAGAAAGAGGUGCCUUGGCUUCACAGGGGACGGAGCGCCUCGGUGUUCUGGUGCGUUCGGACAAAUCGUGAUCGAGAUCUCUUGAUCUCGACGGAACUUUUAGAGGCUUUGUAAAGAGUCACAUGGUGGGUUUUAGACAGGGACGCCAUCGCGGCCAGCAAGACCGUGGGCAUUGUCACGGAUGGAUGUGAGGUUUUGUCGGAGUGGAGGCAUUUUUUUAGUGUGCCAGGUCUGUGUACGCGACGUGCGCGCAACCGAAGGAUCUGUUCGCUGUGAGCAUACUCUAUGUUAUUUACAUGGAAAUACAUGAGCGGUAUCGC
This is a long non-coding RNA of Pollicipes pollicipes, 1744 nucleotides long. RefSeq lists it as uncharacterized. Lineage: Eukaryota; Metazoa; Arthropoda; Thecostraca; Pollicipedomorpha; Pollicipedidae. The transcript is spliced from 3 exons. The record is from RefSeq and is a predicted model, not a curated record.